RNAcentral lists this ribosomal RNA (200 nucleotides) under uncultured bacterium. RNAcentral describes it as "partial 16S ribosomal RNA". It matches the Rfam family "Bacterial small subunit ribosomal RNA", at positions 8 to 223 of the family's 1533-position model. The record is from RNAcentral.
AGAGUUUGAUCAUGGCUCAGGAUAAACGCUGGCGGCGUGCCUAAUACAUGCAAGUCGAGCGGCAGCACGGACUUCGGUCUGGUGGCGAGCGGCGGACGGCUGAGUAACACGUAGGAACGUACCCCAAAGUGAGGGAUAACUGCCUGAAAAGGUGGCUAAUACCGCAUGUGGUCUUCGGAUUAAAGCUUUACGCGCUUUGG